GGGUCGUGGCUGUACUGUUAGCUACUGUCUACCAUUCACAACUUGCCAAAGUUGUCUUUCGAGGAGGGGAUGUGGUUGGUGUGACAACUCAGGAAAAUGUUUACCUGGUACAGCAUAUAAAACAGACAUUGGGCAAUGUCAAUCUUGGUUUUAUUACAACUGCAUUAGUGUUGGAAGAAAUCCGUCUUGCUCUAAUAAUAUCAAAGUGAGUG
This is a non-coding RNA of Paramuricea clavata, 212 nucleotides long. NCBI's taxonomy places the organism in Eukaryota, Metazoa, Cnidaria, Anthozoa, Malacalcyonacea, Plexauridae. The record is from the annotation of a GenBank genome assembly.